CCUUCAAAUCAUAACAACUAGUAAAUCUUAGACUAUUUUAGUAUAUACAGUUAUGAUCUAUUUUAGGUUUAACAGCCUUUACCAAGAAAAAGUAGUAGUAA
Molecule: long non-coding RNA, 101 nt
Organism: Cucurbita moschata (crookneck pumpkin)
Lineage: Eukaryota; Viridiplantae; Streptophyta; Magnoliopsida; Cucurbitales; Cucurbitaceae
Exons: 3
Source: RefSeq, a predicted model, not a curated record